AAUGAACGCUGGCGGCAUGCCUUACACAUGCAAGUCGAACGGCAGCAUGACCUAGCUUGCUAGGUUGAUGGCGAGUGGCGAACGGGUGAGUAAUGCAUCGGAACGUGCCUUUUAGUGGGGGAGAACGUAGCGAAAGUUACGCUAAUACCGCAUAUUCGCUGAGGAGGAAAGCAGGGGGCCUUCGGGCCUUGCGCUAGAAGAGCGGCCGAUGUCGGAUUAGCUAGUUGGUGAGGUAAAGGCUCACCAAGGCAACGAUCCGUAGCGGGUCUGAGAGGAUGAUCCGCCACACUGGAACUGAGACACGGCCCAGACUCCUACGGGAGGCAGCAGUGGGGAAUUUUGGACAAUGGGCGCAAGCCUGAUCCAGCCAUGCCGCGUGAGUGAAGAAGGCCUUCGGGUUGUAAAGCUCUUUCGGCUGGGAAGAAAUCGCGCUCGCUAAUACAGGGUGUGGAUGACGGUACCAGAAUAAGAAGCACCGGCUAACUACGUG
This 490-nucleotide ribosomal RNA is filed under the name uncultured bacterium. RNAcentral's name for it is "partial 16S ribosomal RNA". It matches the Rfam family "Bacterial small subunit ribosomal RNA", at positions 29 to 507 of the family's 1533-position model. The record is from RNAcentral.